Octopus sinensis (East Asian common octopus) is the source of this 147-nucleotide long non-coding RNA. RefSeq lists it as uncharacterized. NCBI's taxonomy places the organism in Eukaryota, Metazoa, Mollusca, Cephalopoda, Octopoda, Octopodidae. The record is from RefSeq and is a predicted model, not a curated record. The transcript has 4 exons.
UUUCCAUGCUAGCAUGGGUCACAUCGAAUUUAUUGAGACGGAUUUUCUAUGGCCUGUUGCCCUUCUGGUCACCAACCUUCACCUGUUUCCAAACAAGGUGAUAUUUCCUCCAUGGCUAGACAUGUUUCUCAAAGAGGACUGGAAAUG